This is a long non-coding RNA of Anolis carolinensis (green anole), 2533 nucleotides long. The record is from Ensembl. Lineage: Eukaryota; Metazoa; Chordata; Lepidosauria; Squamata; Anolidae.
AUUAUUAUUAUUAUUAUUAUUAUUAUUAUUAUUAUUAUUUUAUCAUGACACAGCAAACAAUAUAGACAUGCUGGAUUUCGUAUCACAAAAUCACAAGUUGAACACUUCCCAAGUGUCUAGGACUGUGUGAUGUAUUUUCAGAUGAUGCGCGCAGAUCCCAAUCGGGUGGCCUUUUGCAGCUGGCAGAUUGUAAUUUUGUCAAUGCCUAUUGUUUCCAAAUGCCGGCUGAGAUCUUUUGGCACGGCACCCAGUGUGCCAACCACCACCGGGACCACCUGCACUGGUUUCUGCCAGAGUCUUUGAAGUUCAAUCUUGAGGUCCUGAUAGCGGCUGAGUUUUUCCUGUUGUUUUUCGUCAAUGCGACUGUCACCUGGGAUGGCGACAUCAAUGAUCCAAACCUUUUUCUUUUCCACAACUGUGAUGUCUGGUGUGUUGUGUUCCAGACUGACAAAGUUCUGGAACACAACACACCAGACAUCACAGUUGUGGAAAAGAAAAAGGUUUGGAUCAUUGAUGUCGCCAUCCCAGGUGACAGUCGCAUUGACGAAAAACAACAGGAAAAACUCAGCCGCUAUCAGGACCUCAAGAUUGAACUUCAAAGACUCUGGCAGAAACCAGUGCAGGUGGUCCCGGUGGUGAUGGGCAAACUGGGUGCUGUGCGAAAAGUUCUCAGCCGGCAUCUGGAAACAAUAGACAUUGACAAAACUACGAUCUGCCAACUGCAAAAGGCCACCCUACUGGGAUCUGCAUACAUCAUACAUCAUCCGAAAAUACAUCACACAGUCCUAAACGCUUGGGAAGUGUUCGACAGCAUAUCUAUCUUGUUUGCUGUGUCAUACAAUUAAAAUAAUAAUAAUAAUAAUAAUAAUAAUAAUAAUAAUAAUAAUAAUAAUAACAACAACAACAAUAACAACAACAACAAUAAUGAUAAUAAUAACCACCACUACCACCACAGGGGCCACCCAGUCCAGGAAAAACACAAUCAAAGCACCCCAACAGAUGGCCAUCCAGCCUUAACAACAACAACCCCAGUGGCUAUCCAAUCCAGGAAAAACACAGUUAAAGCAGCCCAACAGAUGGCCAUCCAGCCUUUGUAACAACAACAGAAACCCCAGAGUUUUUGGAAACUUGCAGGUCAGUGCCAAGCUCUCUGGGAAGUGAUAUUAUUGUCCCCUUUUCUGUGGCUCAUAAUUGCUGAUUAAGAAAUCAAUCGUGAGGCUCUAAACGUGGAGCAUGUCUUUUUUCAUAUUUCUGAUUCUAUGUGUCCUGUUCUCUCCCUCCCUACAGGUAUUCCCUCUGACUUUUUUAAAAAGCCAUUCUUUUCUAAGUAGAGAUAAAUGAGCCUCAAGCUGCUGCACCUGCUCUUCCCACAGGGCAACCAACUUGCACUUGCUGCAGGUAGAAGAGCCUAGAUUCUCUGGCAAGAAAGCAAAGAUGGCACAAAAACAAUGCCUUCACUACAUGCAGGAUUUCCUAGUAUGUAGAUUGCAGCACUCUCUCAUGGAGCGUGAUGCAAAAUGCCUGUUUCCUUUUCCUUGUUUGCUGAGAUGAGGAGACCUUAUAGAGCUACCAGCUGCAAUCUCUCCUCCCAGUCAAGCCAGUGACUCACUUCCUCUGAGCAGAUGCCCCUCUCUCUUGGACCAUAUGCUCAAAGGUUGCUCAUGGGCCAAAGUACACAAAAGCACACAAGCUAGCUCCCAAACGUCUCGGCCAAACAGUCAGGCUUAACUCCAAAAAAACAUGUGUGCCAUCUUCUAUCUCCCCAGAGAUGAGUAUAGAUAGUAGAGAUGUGCAUGAAAAUUUUUCUUUCAUUUCCUUCGUGCUAUUGUUUGUUUCAACUAUUCGUCUACAGACAAUGAAUGAAGACAUUUUUAUAGGAAACGAGAGGUGACAUCAAAAUGAAAGCCGCAUAGUCAUUGUGCUUGCUUUCGUUUUCUUUUCGUUUCGGACCCUUAACAAUAAGCAGGUACGGACAGAGGGCUGCAGUGCUUUCCCAUUACAGCUUAUAUGUAUCAAUGGUUGUGAAUAAUAAUAUUAAUAUAAAUAACAAUAGCUAUCCUGGGACCCUAAGCUGAGUCUGAGAGGCGAGUCCCUCCGCAUUACAUCCGAUGUGUGCCAAUGGGUAUUCAUGAUAAUACUAAUAUGAAUAUAAAUAACGAUAGAUAUCCUAGGACCCUAAGCUGAGUCUGAGAGGGAAGUGACUCCCCAUUACAUCCAAUGUGUUUUAAUGGGUGUUAAUGAUAAUACUAAUAUGAAUAUAAAUUACAAUAGAUAUCCUAGGACCCUAAGCUGAGUCUGAGAGGGGAGUGCCUCCGCAUUACAUCCGAUGUGUGCUAAUGGGUGUUAAUGAUAAUACUAAUAUGAAUAUUAAUAAUGAUAGCUAUCCUAGGACCCUAAGCUGAGUCUGAGUGGGGAGUGCCUCCCAUUACAUCCGAUGUGUUCCAAGGGUGUUAAUGAUAAUACUAAUAUGAAUAUAAAAUAAUGAUAGCUAUCCUAGGACCCUAAGCUGAGUCUGAGAGGGGAGUGCCUCCCC